This 428-nucleotide ribosomal RNA is filed under the name uncultured bacterium. RNAcentral's name for it is "bacterial SSU rRNA". It matches the Rfam family "Bacterial small subunit ribosomal RNA", at positions 355 to 772 of the family's 1533-position model. The record is from RNAcentral.
UGGGGAAUAUUGGACAAUGGGCGCAAGCCUGAUCCAGCAACGCCGCGUGGAGGACGAAGGUCUUCGGAUCGUAAACCCCUGUCAGGCGGGACGAAGGCUGCAGGGCAAAUAGUCCUGUAGCUUGACGGUACUGCCAGAGGAAGCCCCGGCUAACUCCGUGCCAGCAGCCGCGGUAAUACGGAGGGGGCGAGCGUUAUUCGGAAUUAUUGGGCGUAAAGGGCGCGUAGGUGGCCCGGUCAGUCCGUGGUGAAAGCGCGGGGCUCAACCCUGCGUCGGCCAUGGAUACUGCCGCGGCUCGAGCACUGUAGAGGCAGGCGGAAUUCCGGGUGUAGCGGUGGAAUGCGUAGAGAUCCGGAAGAACACCGGUGGCGAAGGCGGCCUGCUGGGCAGUAUGGCUGACACUGAGGCGCGACAGCGUGGGGAGCAAA